UACGUAGGGUGCAAGCGUUAAUCGGAAUUACUGGGCGUAAAGCGUGCGCAGGCGGUGAUGUAAGACAGUUGUGAAAUCCCCGGGCUCAACCUGGGAACUGCAUCUGUGACUGCAUCGCUGGAGUGCGGCAGAGGGGGGUGGAAUUCCGCGUGUAGCAGUGAAAUGCGUAGAGAUGCGGAGGAACACCGAUGGCGAAGGCAGCCCCCUGGGCUGACACUGACGCUCAGGCACGAAAGCGUGGGGAGCAAACAGG
RNAcentral lists this ribosomal RNA (253 nucleotides) under uncultured bacterium. RNAcentral's name for it is "partial 16S ribosomal RNA". It matches the Rfam family "Bacterial small subunit ribosomal RNA", at positions 524 to 776 of the family's 1533-position model. The record is from RNAcentral.